This is a long non-coding RNA of Choloepus didactylus (southern two-toed sloth), 1672 nucleotides long. RefSeq lists it as uncharacterized. The transcript is spliced from 3 exons. The record is from RefSeq and is a predicted model, not a curated record. NCBI's taxonomy places the organism in Eukaryota, Metazoa, Chordata, Mammalia, Pilosa, Megalonychidae.
CCCACAGGGAAGAAGAGAAAGGAUUCCAGUAGGAGAGCGUGAGAGGCCCGUCUCUGCUGGAGCCCAGAGACGUCCCGCCCCGAGAAGAAAGCCCCCGUCGUCCACCACUUACGUUUAGAACUUUUCGCUCCGACAUUUUGACCUCCCACUCUUCUCACAAGCCCCGGAGAACUGCUCAGGCUCGGUAUUUAACGACCGGCCAAGUACUUCCGUUGACGUCACUUCCUCUCGCCACUCUGAUUGGCUACCGCAUCCGCAGUAUGCUUCGUCAUUGGCUCAGCACCCCGCCUGUCAAGAGCCGGAUCCUGUAGCCGUCCUUCCGGAGCUGCAACCUGGGUGGGGCGGCACAAAGGUUCCGGGGACGCUUCUCGCGUUUGGAGACGUUGGGGGAGGGCCCCGCGCCCCCCGGAGGUCGGCAGCGGCUCGUUACAACCGCCGGGAGGCGACAUGGCCGCCGGUCGCGACACCCCGGGUUGUUCAUCCUCUUAAAUGACAAAAGGAGUGUUGAUCGCCUGCCCUGCUGAUGGAUUCCGGGAACCCAGGCACCGGCCCGGUCCUUUGCGCCCCUAUGACGGCUUACACUUGUCGCGACCACCCCAUGCUUGUCCCGAGCCACGGACAGAGACUUGGGAUCUGUGAUCUCAUUGACUUGGGAUCUAUGAUCUAAUGAGUUAAUAACCAUUAAUUAACGGUUGCACAACCCACCGGCCCAGCCCCGACCCCACGGGCGUGGAGAUCGGCCGUGCCCAGGACUGAGUCCUCUCCAGGUCUCCACCCACGUCCGUUGAAUGAAAGGAGGAAACGGAUCCAUUCCAUUUACCAAGAUUCUUUUUUAAUGAAACGAUUCAAAAAGCUCACGUUCACGGUUCACAGAGCUCUGCCCUGCGGACAAAGGAGGGAGUGCAUCCCCAUUUCACAGAUCAGGAAACUGAGGCUCAGAGAGGCGAAAUCACUCGUUGGGAGGUUGUCCAGCAACUUGGCAGCAAAGCCGGGGUCAGCCUGAUGCCGUCUGCACCUCCAACGGUGGCAGGCGGGGUGGGGUGGAUGUCAGGGCCCCAGCCCCUCUGUGGGGGAGCUGGCAAGACCCCCUGACUUGCCCGGGGUCACAGGGGCAGCGGCCGGGAGGCUCCAGUCGCUGGGUUCGCCAUAGUCCGUGAGGUCCUGAGCAGACACCUGGACGCAGUACCUGGCUCGGGGCCGCAGAGCUUUGAAGUGUGUGGCCAGAUUGCAUUUGUUUACCCUUUCCUCCGUCGAUGGGCUGGUUCCACCUUUCGGCUAUUAAGAAUAAUGUUGCUAUGAAGAUUUGCGUACAAGACUUUGUGUGCACGUGUGCAUUUCUCUCACGUGGCUACCUGGGAGCCGGAUCGCUGGGUCAUACGGAACCGUUUCCGUUGCACCGCACUCCUGGAGAAUUCUGAGGAUCUCGGGUUCCUGACCCCACACCCCGAGUCUCCAUGUCUCCCGAGGCUGGGGGCAGUGGCCCCCGAGUACUGGAAUUCCCACCAAGUGCCCAGGACGUCCCGAGGCCCUUCCCUCUCCCUGCCCAGGCUCUCUGACCUGUAGGUGGCCACGAAGGACGUGUUCCCGGUGGAAUUCGGGGCUGGCGGCAGGGUCCAGGAGCAGUCCACGGCGACCGGGUACCUGGGGGCCUGGCACCGCACCCUGGGGGGCG